AGAGUUUGAUCAUGGCUCAGAUUGAACGCUGGCGGCAGGCCUAACACAUGCAAGUCGAGCGGUAGCACAGAGAGCUUGCUCUCGGGUGACGAGCGGCGGACGGGUGAGUAAUGUCUGGGAAACUGCCUGAUGGAGGGGGAUAACUACUGGAAACGGUAGCUAAUACCGCAUAACGUCGCAAGACCAAAGUGGGGGACCUUCGGGCCUCAUGCCAUCAGAUGUGCCCAGAUGGGAUUAGCUAGUAGGUGGGGUAACGGCUCACCUAGGCGACGAUCCCUAGCUGGUCUGAGAGGAUGACCAGCCACACUGGAACUGAGACACGGUCCAGACUCCUACGGGAGGCAGCAGUGGGGAAUAUUGCACAAUGGGCGCAAGCCUGAUGCAGCCAUGCCGCGUGUGUGAAGAAGGCCUUCGGGUUGUAAAGCACUUUCAGCGGGGAGGAAGGCGAUAAGGUUAAUAACCUUGUCGAUUGACGUUACCCGCAGAAGAAGCACCGGCUAACUCCGUGCCAGCAGCCGCGGUAAUACGGAGGGUGCAAGCGUUAAUCGGAAUUACUGGGCGUAAAGCGCACGCAGGCGGUCUGUCAAGUCGGAUGUGAAAUCCCCGGGCUCAACCUGGGAACUGCAUUCGAAACUGGCAGGCUAGAGUCUUGUAGAGGGGGGGUAGAAUUCCAUGUGUAGCGGGUGAAAUGCGUAGAGAUCUGGAGGAAUACCGGUGGCGAAGGCGGCCCCCUGGACAAAGACUGACGCUCAGGUGCGAAAGCGUGGGGAGCAAACAGGAUUAGAUACCCUGGUAGUCCACGCCGUAAACGAUGUCGAUUUGGAGGUUGUGCCCUUGAGGCGUGGCUUCCGGAGCUAACGCGUUAAAUCGACCGCCUGGGGAGUACGGCCGCAAGGUUAAAACUCAAAUGAAUUGACGGGGGCCCGCACAAGCGGUGGAGCAUGUGGUUAAUUCGAUGCAACGCGAAGAACCUUACCUGGUCUUGACAUCCACAGAACUUAGCAGAGAUGCUUUGGUGCCUUCGGGAACUGUGAGACAGGUGCUUGCAUGGCUGUCGUCAGCUCGUGUUGUGAAAUGUUGGGUUAAGUCCGCAACGAGCGCAACCCUUAUCCUUUGUUGCCAGCGGUUAGGCCGGGAACUCAAAGGAGACUGCCAGUGAUAAACUGGAGGAAGGUGGGGAUGACGUCAAGUCAUCAUGGCCCUUACGACCAGGGCUACACACGUGCUACAAUGGCAUAUACAAAGAGAAGCGACCUCGCGAGAGCAAGCGGACCUCAUAAAGUAUGUCGUAGUCCGGAUUGGAGUCUGCAACUCGACUCCAUGAAGUCGGAAUCGCUAGUAAUCGUAGAUCAGAAUGCUACGGUGAAUACGUUCCCGGGCCUUGUACACACCGCCCGUCACACCAUGGGAGUGGGUUGCAAAAGAAGUAGGUAGCUUAACCUUCGGGAGGGCGCUUACCACUUUGUGAUUCAUGACUGGGGUGAAGUCGUAACAAGGUAACCGUAGGGGAACCUGCGGUUGGAUCACCU
RNAcentral lists this ribosomal RNA (1529 nucleotides) under Klebsiella pneumoniae. RNAcentral describes it as "bacterial SSU rRNA". It matches the Rfam family "Bacterial small subunit ribosomal RNA". Lineage: Bacteria; Pseudomonadati; Pseudomonadota; Gammaproteobacteria; Enterobacterales; Enterobacteriaceae. The record is from RNAcentral.